UACGAAGGGGGCUAGCGUUGCUCGGAAUCACUGGGCGUAAAGCGCACGUAGGCGGCUUUCUAAGUCAGGGGUGAAAUCCUGGAGCUCAACUCCAGAACCGCCUUUGAUACUGGAAAGCUUGAGUUCGGGAGAGGUGAGUGGAACUGCGAGUGUAGAGGUGAAAUUCGUAGAUAUUCGCAAGAACACCAGUGGCGAAGGCGGCUCACUGGCCCGAUACUGACGCUGAGGUGCGAAAGCGUGGGGAGCAAACAGG
Molecule: ribosomal RNA, 253 nt
Filed under: uncultured bacterium
Lineage: Bacteria
Description: partial 16S ribosomal RNA
Rfam family: Bacterial small subunit ribosomal RNA
Source: RNAcentral